GACAGCAGUAGCCGCGGUAAUACAGAGGGUGCGAGCGUUAAUCGGAUUUACUGGGCGUAAAGCGUGCGUAGGCGGCUUCUUAAGUCGGAUGUGAAAUCCCUGAGCUUAACUUAGGAAUUGCAUUCGAUACUGGGAAGCUAGAGUAUGGGAGAGGAUGGUAGAAUUCCAGGUGUAGCGGUGAAAUGCGUAGAGAUCUGGAGGAAUACCGAUGGCGAAGGCAGCCAUCUGGCCUAAUACUGACGCUGAGGUACGAAAGCAUGGGGAGCAAACAGGAUUAGAUACCCGCGUAGUCCCUGUCUCUUAUAC
This 306-nucleotide ribosomal RNA is filed under the name uncultured bacterium. Its description in RNAcentral is "partial 16S ribosomal RNA". It matches the Rfam family "Bacterial small subunit ribosomal RNA", at positions 507 to 807 of the family's 1533-position model. The record is from RNAcentral.